Molecule: ribosomal RNA, 545 nt
Filed under: uncultured archaeon
Lineage: Archaea
Description: bacterial SSU rRNA
Rfam family: Archaeal small subunit ribosomal RNA
Source: RNAcentral
GUUGUGAGAGCAAGAGCCCGGAGAUGGAUUCUGAGACACGAAUCCAGGCCCUACGGGGCGCAGCAGGCGCGAAAACUUUACAAUGCGAGAAAUCGUGAUAAGGGAACCCCGAGUGCCCGUAAAUUCGGGCUGUCCGCCAGUGUAAAUAACUGGUGAAGAAAGGGCCGGGCAAGACCGGUGCCAGCCGCCGCGGUAAUACCGGCGGCUCGAGUGGUGGCCACUAUUACUGGGCUUAAAGCGUCCGUAGCUGGAUUGUUAAGUCUCUUGGGAAAUCCACCGGCUCAACCGAUGGGCGUUCAGGAGAAACUGGCAAUCUAGGGACCGGGAGAGGUGAGAGGUACUCCAGGGGUAGGAGUGAAAUCCUGUAAUCCUUGGGGGACCACCUGUGGCGAAGGCGUCUCACUAGAACGGCUCCGACAGUGAGGGACGAAAGCUGGGGGAGCAAACCGGAUUAGAUACCCGGGUAGUCCCAGCUGUAAACGAUGCGCGUUAGGUGUAUCGGUGACCACGAGUCAUCGAGGUGCCGAAGGGAAACCGUGAAACGU